RNAcentral lists this ribosomal RNA (348 nucleotides) under uncultured rumen bacterium. RNAcentral describes it as "partial 16S ribosomal RNA". The record is from RNAcentral.
UAUUCCCCACUGCUGCCUCCCGUAGGAGUCUGGACCGUGUCUCAGUUCCAGUGUGGCUGGUCAUCCUCUCAGACCAGCUAGGGAUCGUCGCCUAGGUGAGCCGUUACCCCACCUACUAGCUAAUCCCAUCUGGGCACAUCCGAUGGCAAGAGGCCCGAAGGUCCCCCUCUUUGGUCUUGCGACGUUAUGCGGUAUUAGCUACCGUUUCCAGUAGUUAUCCCCCUCCAUCAGGCAGUUUCCCAGACAUUACUCACCCGUCCGCCACUCGUCAGCAAAGAAGCAAGCUUCUUCCUGUUACCGUUCGACUUGCAUGUGUUAGGCCUGCCGCCAGCGUUCAUCCUGAGCCAA